Molecule: long non-coding RNA, 746 nt
Filed under: Macaca fascicularis (crab-eating macaque)
Lineage: Eukaryota; Metazoa; Chordata; Mammalia; Primates; Cercopithecidae
Description: lncRNA (ENSMFAG00000055484.1)
Source: RNAcentral
GCCUAUUCCUAACACAGAAGAGGAAGACAGGAUCUCUGCUUCAGGGAGCCUGUAGGGUCUGUUAAAGGCAAUGACAUGCCAGUGAGCCAGGGCACAUUUCCACUUAGCCAGAGGCCAACGUCACAAAGGAGGUGGCGUUUUGGUCGAGCCUGCUUAUAAUCCUAGUGUCUAUAGAUUUUAUUAAAUCAUUAGAGUCAUUCUUCAGGUAGAAACGAACCUUCCUUGACUUCAUAAAUUAUCAGAUGUCUGGAAUUCUGAAUUUUAUCCCUUCAAGUCCCUCCACCAGAACUUCCCAGCACGUCCAUUUUCUUCUACAGCGUGAGGGAAGGGUCAGGUUUAGCAACAUUGUCUUGGCAAACAGAUUAGCCCUCUCCAUUUAGGAAGGAGGAAGGAGGCUGCUCUCGCGGCCACAUUUCCUGGAAGACUGCCGUACUGAGUUCCACGUCCCAGGAAACUCCGCAGUCCUGAGCAAAUGGAAUGGCUGGUCACCUGUUCCUGCUCUGGUGGGCACUCUCAUCUCAUGCGCUCCACUCAGGCUGUCUCUGAGCCAACGCAGUGCCAAUCUUUCCAGGUGAAUACAAGACAACCAGCCCUCCCUGCAAUUGGCUGAGCUAGUGUAUUGGUAAUACGGGCCGAAGACUGUGAUCUCUUUCUAGAAACACCUGGCUGGUGACAGACACACAGGAAGAAAAAUGGAAUAAACACAACUAGCUUCCCGUCAAGUUCUGGUGGGGGCCACCCUCACC